GCUAAAUCCAAUCCAACUAGAUACCUUUAUUAUAAUAAUGCGUCUUAAAAAGUUUUAUUGCUUUUAUACCAUUAAUAAUGAACCCCGUUGAGUUCAGCGUUGUCCCCGCCCACUCAGAAAUGAACGAAGCUGCCUGAUUGGUUGCUCAGCUCCGCCCUCUAGGACUUGUGCGUAUGACGUCAGGCGCUGUUGUAGAGGCAAGACCGCUUGUGUGUGAGCGGGUGGGACGUGCGCGCGCGCGCGGCUACCUCACUGUGAGCUAGAAAGUCAAGCGAUGGAGACGUGAUCACUCUACGGCUGUCUGUGUGGUUCGUGGACUUUGUGAUGACAGACCAGGCAAGACCGAAGAGCAGGAUGUUCAGGAUUACUGAUUAUCUCAAGAGUAGUGAGAGGAAGAGAGAGAGAGAGAGAGAAUAUUAGCAAAAUUACCUGGAAACACCUUGAGCGGGCCGCUCCUUUCCAUAUGGACGACAAGCGUACGAGCCGUUACGCUGAAUAUCUGCCUCGGAGCAAAGUUCACGCCAUCAUUCACCUGGAAGUUAAACCCUCCAGCCGUGGCUCCUGGAGAGGACAAUGAAGCAGACUCGACAUGGAACUUCUUCAGACAUCUUCAUCUCUCUAGAAACUGUUUGCAUGACUUCAAAUAGAGAUUCAACCCUUUACAAUCAGACACUCUGGGUUUGAGGAGCAUCAUGGUGGCUGCUUCAUGACCAAGAUACAGGAUCACCUCCUGUUUUUCCACCUUACCUUUCUGCUUUUACGACACGAAAGAACAUUUGGGUGAUGGAUCAUCUUACCACUGUGCACGAACAGUAGUUGUCCCUGAUCUAUGUGAGCCUGAGUGAAGUUCAUGACUGGUCUAAUGGGAGCACUUUUCAGAGCCAGGUGCCCGUUACUGGGUUGAGUGAUGAGGUAAUGUAGCUGCUCUGGAGCUGUAUCGUCAUCCUCCGCAUGCAGAUCUUCAGGAGUGAUCUCUGUUAUGGAGCUGACCCAAACCUGGUUCAAAUGGACAGAGAUACAGUGCGAUCAUUCAGUGGACUGAUACCAUCGUAUGCUGAGAAAUAGAGCUUAAAAGCUAAUCUUAAUACCAUGAUAAUAAAUGGCUGCCGAUACGAUCAGGAGAACGAUUAAACUAAAUAGCUAUGGG
Molecule: long non-coding RNA, 1147 nt
Organism: Tachysurus fulvidraco (yellow catfish)
Lineage: Eukaryota; Metazoa; Chordata; Actinopteri; Siluriformes; Bagridae
Exons: 4
Source: RefSeq, a predicted model, not a curated record